UGAGGAAUAUUGGUCAAUGGGCGGGAGCCUGAACCAGCCAUCCCGCGUGCAGGAAGACGGCCCUAUGGGUUGUAAACUGCUUUUGUGCAGGAAGAACGCCAGGUAUGUAUACCUGGGUGACGGUACUGCAUGAAUAAGCACCGGCUAACUCCGUGCCAGCAGCCGCGGUAAUACGGAGGGUGCAAGCGUUAUCCGGAUUUAUUGGGUUUAAAGGGUGCGUAGGCGGUAAAUUAAGUCAGUGGUGAAAACCUGAGGCUCAACCGUAGACGUGCCAUUGAAACUGCUUUACUUGAGUAAGCAGGAGGUAGGCGGAAU
RNAcentral lists this ribosomal RNA (315 nucleotides) under uncultured prokaryote. Its description in RNAcentral is "bacterial SSU rRNA". It matches the Rfam family "Bacterial small subunit ribosomal RNA", at positions 355 to 667 of the family's 1533-position model. The record is from RNAcentral.